GUCUAGCUUAGUUGGUAGAGUGCAAGGCUUUUAACCUUGAGGUUGUGAGUUCAAGCCCCAUGGUGAACA
RNAcentral lists this transfer RNA (69 nucleotides) under Zea mays. It matches the Rfam family "tRNA". From Rfam's summary of the family: Transfer RNA (tRNA) molecules are approximately 80 nucleotides in length. Their secondary structure includes four short double-helical elements and three loops (D, anti-codon, and T loops). Further hydrogen bonds mediate the characteristic L-shaped molecular structure. tRNAs have two regions of fundamental functional importance: the anti-codon, which is responsible for specific mRNA codon recognition, and the 3' end, to which the tRNAs corresponding amino acid is attached (by aminoacyl-tRNA synthetases). tRNAs cope with the degeneracy of the genetic code in two manners: having more than one tRNA (with a specific anti-codon) for a particular amino acid; and 'wobble' base-pairing, i.e. permitting non-standard base-pairing at the 3rd anti-codon position. The record is from Rfam by way of RNAcentral. Lineage: Eukaryota; Viridiplantae; Streptophyta; Magnoliopsida; Poales; Poaceae.